This is a long non-coding RNA of Heterocephalus glaber (naked mole-rat), 2022 nucleotides long. NCBI's taxonomy places the organism in Eukaryota, Metazoa, Chordata, Mammalia, Rodentia, Bathyergidae. The record is from Ensembl.
CUUUACAGAGGGAGAUUUGCUGAGAGGGUGACUUGUUAAAGGUCGCAGUCAUUUUUGUAGUGGUUGGAAGUGCUAUGAAUGGUGGAAAAUGUCAACUCACAGAUUCUACUCUUCUUCUUGUCCCCCUCCCCCUUUCUCCCUCUGUAAGCCAGGGGUGGGUCUAAAUGGCUUUGGUGGAGAGGUUAGCACAUCCCAAUCUAAAUAGGAAGUUUGGUGUCUCUCCCUCCUCCCUUCCUUCCCACCUUCCUUAUUCCUUUCCUUUGUUUCUAAAGGAUGUGUUUGUAUGCAUUCUGGACGUUUGAAUUAAAAACAAAAAUAUUGUGAUCCAGAAAAGGAUCACUAGAGAUGUGGACAAAUCAUUAAAAUUACAGAGCUAUAUGAUCCAUAAUUGAUUAGUCAAAAUAACUUAUUGAUGAAAUAUACAAAUAUUUUAUUGUAGCACCUAUUUUUAUAUGCACAUUUAGCAUUCCUCUUUCCUUCACUAUUUAGCCUAUGAUUUUCGCAGAGGUGUCACAUUGUAUCAGGAGCUGCGUUUCCAAAACUGAAGUGAUUAUCCAGAAGGCAUUUUAGAUCAUUAAAAAUAUGGAGCACUUAAUGGCAAAAUCUUUAAAAGCCAAUGCAACCCACUCAGUUGAACCUGUAUUUUUCUAUACUGAUUGUAUCCCACUGUAUAAAAGAAAAAAAGUUAGGGUGACUAAUUGGGCCAUUCAAGAGAAUUGUGUGCAAGAUUUUGGUUUUAUUAGAGAAGAUUUAAAAGUAUUUUUAUUAGUGAACCAAAACUGUGUAUUGAUUUGACUACUAUUGUAGCCGAGUUUCAAUUGUUUAGCCAAACCCACUUGCAUUUGUACAGAUCCACAUGUACUGGCACCUCAGAAGACCAAAAGACAGCCUGUUACAAGUCUUAUACAACAAUGUCUUUAUCCCUCUGGGCAGCGAGCAAUGAUGAUAAUGACAAACAGGAUCUCUGUAUGAUGGGGCUACUGUUGUUACAGUCUCAUAUGUAUCCCAGCACAUGUAAUUUUUUAAAUAGUUUCUGAAUAAACACUUGAUAACUAUGUCAAAUAUGAGGGAUUGAAGUAAUGAUUACUCGAGGUGCACAAGACUUAGCUAUGUGUGAUUGGUGGAACCUUCAUAAUUAACAAUUUAAAAUAUACUACAUAAACUUUAUUCCUAAUAGAAAAAGUUUUCCUGUUAAUUAUAAUAAUUUCAAAAUAUACAUAUGUAUAAUUAAUGUUUUUCUUGGUUCAGGGAAGUAUGUUUUUCUGCUGCCAUUUAAUGUGCUUAUUUAUGAUAUUUCACUUGAUUACAUUAUUUCCUUACUGAAGUAUUCAUCUAAUACAAGGAGCAUGUUUCCAUAUUUUAAACUACACAAACCUAACGUCAGCAUUAUGAUGGAUACUUCACCUAAAGUUGACCUGUGUCCUAAAUAUUGAAAAUGUGAGUAUAAGCUGUUCACCUCCAAAUAAGUUUUGCCAGUGAAUUUAGGUUAAUUUUUAAGGGUAGAAAAUGUUUACAUUAAUCUGAAAUGUAAAGAGUCACCUGCUUCAUUUCUUUUGGUGGAUAUCCCCACAGUCUCACCUGGAAUAUGCACAAUAUCAAGGGCUGUUCAUGAACUUCGUGUUUAAGAAACAAUUGUCAUGGCAUUCUGCCACAUAGAGGCAGCAUUCACCCAUGAGUAAAUUGACAGUAGCUACUUGAAUUCAGAUUGAACUGGUGGUAGCAGUUCCCCUAAAGAAUUUUUUAAAAAAUGUAAUGGUAUGUCGAACAAGUGCAGUAAACUAUUCAUAUUCUUCACAUUUUCUGUCAAUUUUAUUUUCAAAGGAGAAAGAAAGAAGCUUAAUAAAUCCUAUGAUUUUAUCAUGAGAAUAAAAUGAAUCUCUUGCUCUUCAUCUACCUCCUCUAUAUUAGCUCCAGGAUUAGAAAAGGAAAAAAAAAAACAACUAAAUACUAGAAUCUGACUUUGCAUUUGGGAUUGUUAUUAAUUUUUCUUUACAUUGUUAGUUAUGAUUUUUUUUGGAAAAU